GUGGGGACUGUGGCCCUGUCGCCGGUCACGGUUGUGCUGGAGAAACGUGUGUGUGGGCUGACUGGGGCCCACGUUGGCCAUGUUUCGGGAAAGGCUGCGUCGCCUGUGGACGGUGGACCUGUGUGUCCUGACCUUUCCACAGCUGACACGACGCCCUUGGGGGCGGCUCCGAGGGGCUCGUCUCUCUUUCUCUCUAGUCUCUGUGGACACUUGACACCAGCUGUGUGACCUUGGGCAAGUUACUUAUUGUUCACAGUGUUCAUAAAUAAAACGGGGACCUGCCAUCAUGUCGUGGUGUGUUGUGAGGACUAAGAGACCCUGUAGUUGGCAGAGGGCCUGGCACCUAGUGCCCGUCGUGGUCGUCCACCUCCAAGCUGGUCAAGCGGGGAUGUGUGUGCAGCACAGGGAAAGUGCUCGAGUUCCAGGAGCAGUGUCCUGCAGGACGCAGGCCCCCGUGGUGGCUACUGAUGCCGUGGCUGUGCUGUGACUCCCGGGGGAGGAGUAGGGGGGGCUGCUGCUGCCCUCUUGCCAUGGCCCCCGUUACUGACUGUGGCAGGGAAUGCCAUGCGGCCCUGGUCUGCUUGGAGGACACAUGGAGACGGCAGGGUGCGCCCGUGUGAGGGCUGGGGGUCUGGUCGUCCCACGGCCUGCCUAUGCAGGAAGCCUUGUUCGCACUUUUGGGUUCAGUGUGUGCUUUGUGGGUGGAGGUGAUGGCACGUUCGGCAGCGUUGGGCAGGCGGGCAGCAGGUACGGUGGGGCUGGUGGCGGAGUUUUCCCUUGGGGCCCACUGGGCUCGGGGUCAUCCUGACGCCGAAGAGGAUUGUGCCAAGGGGUUUCAGGUCUGGAAAAAGAAAAGAGUGAAGACAGGACUUCCUGACAGAUUCAGAGAUUUUAGACUCUGGUCUCGAUUUGAAACCAAUGGGCUGUCCUGUCGCGUGUCCAUGUCGUCCUGUCCCCAUCCCAGAGGAGAGGCAGCUGAACUUAACAAGCUGUUAAACUGCCCCAGUGAUGAGACGUGUGCUUGGGACGUGGGCUCCUAGAGGAGCGGCAGUGUCCCGGGGAUGGGCUGGCACUUUGUGACAUAGAGUGGUCCCCAGCUGGGCCUGGUUAGUGUGUCCUGACGUCCAUAUGGGCACUUGGCUUUGCGGCCAGUCGCUGUGGCGCCCUGGGUGUCUGGACAGGUAGCUGGGUUUGGCAGCUGGCUGAAGCCUGCCGCCCCGUUGCUGGUUAACAGGUAAUGGUGGUGCUGUCUUUCCUCCCCAGGGUGCCAGGCCCCGGGGAUAGUCAGUGCUCUGCUCGCAAGACCUCACUCUGUCAAGGAGACACUGAUUGACCCUGUUGGGUGACACCGACGUCAUGAUGUCCCCUUCCAUGCCUUGAUUGUGUUUUGAUGACUGCCCUCACUUUUUGGGUUUCCCUGAGCUCCCUACCUUUCUCCUUUCUCCCCAGGCGAAUGGACAGGAAGCUUGGAGUUGGGGCAGCUGUCCUGGGAGGGGGUGGGUGGCCCAAGGCCGGCAGGUAGGUAAAGGGGAAGCAAAAGUCCUGGGUUUUGGUCACUUUGGUCAGAGGACUUAUCUUAUUGUGGCCUCUGCUCCCAGCCAUAAAACAACUGUUUGGGAUGGAAUAUCACUCCUUAUCCUGUUCCUUUUAUUUUUGUUAUUUUAAUAAAUCCAAAUGCCAGUUUUUAAAUUUACAGGAAAACACCAGAGGCUGAAAUUCUCACUCACAGGGUUCAGGGCAACCUCUGGCCUCAGAUGUCUGCAGGAAAGUACGGGGUGGAUAAAUGCACCCGUUCCCAGAUUGGGGUGGUCUCUCCAGUUCCAGCAGACUCUGGGAACGGGCUGCGUGUACCUUGAGCCCUACCUGGGAGUCGCUGUGUAUCUUUAAACUGAGUCUCUGCAAACUAGGAACCCGGAUGGCAUCAGAAACUUGGCGCAGACUGUGUGUUUUUCCAACUCGCAGAGGAAUCCAAAGCCCCAGUGAUUAGGAGAAAUGAAAAAUGCUACAAGAUGCAUAAGACUUUGAGCAUCUCUGCUUUGAUUUUUUCCCUCAAAAUUAACUUUUACUUUUGGCAUAGCAUACCCAGAAGAGGCUGUCACUGCUGGGUCCCCAGAUUAGUGUUAUCAGCUUUUAGAUCUUUCAAAGGAUCAACUUUUAGCUUUGUGGAUUCUUUGUCUUGUGAGUUAAAAUAUUCCGGCCACUUUUCAUGAGCAUUUGCAGUCUGCCAGUCUCUGCUCGGGCUUGAAAUGGUGCAGUGAUGGAGAGAGACUGGCUCCCCUCUUUAAGAACUGAGUCUUUAAUGGGUAUUGGCUUGGACUGUUGCCCCUCAUUGAAUUUGAAAACAUUGUUUAUUUAACGUCUGUUCGGUUUUCCUGGAAUCUUUGUUUGGUCUGUUUCCGUCCUGCACUAGUGAGUCGCUUGUGAAUGCUGUGCCAUUCACCGCCUGGUGUCUCAUUUAUGAGACUAUUGAAGGGCCCUGCCCGUCUCUGUGUGCGGGUGGUGAAGGGCACGAGGGGCACAUGGUGACUGUGAGAGUGAGCGGGCCAGCAGAACUGGAUGAGAGAAGAGCUCAGACGUCGUACCAGGAACUGGGGAGACAGUUGUCCGCAGAAUCGGACGGGAUUUCCUACAGGACUGGAGCGUUGAUGACAGCUCGUUCUUCCUGGCACUCCUGGCAAUGCUACAAUGAUAGCAUGUGUGACUGCAUGAUGUGUGUGACGAUGGCCUGAAGAGCAGUCUUUGGUGUGCACAGUGGUUGGAGAUGGCAGUUUUGUUCCAGUGGAACAGUGGACAAUGCUGAGUGGGAAGACUGUCUAAAGGGGUCGGCUGCUCAGAGGACACCAGUGGUUCCCACUGGUUCCCGCUACUUGGUUCUGUGCCAUCGUUCACCCAGCAUAUGGCUGUGGCACUAGGAGGUACCUAGAAUACCCCGCGUUUUGUCUAGCGCUACAAGGGCUCGUCCUCCCCGCUGACCGGGGUGGGGUGUCAGCACUUGCAGGUGUUCUGAGGCUCACCUGUGCUUCAGACGCUCAAAGGGAUCACCUGCCUGGAAUCACUGUGCCCAGGUGCCCAAUGCCUGUUCUUCUCCAGAUGGCUCCAUGCCCCUCAGGUCUGACCUGAGCUUUUCUGUGGCCGAGAAGGAGAAGCCAGGCUAACGGAAGUGGAGAGCGUGAGUCUGAUGUUGGGCCAGCGCACCAGCCCUGCCUCGGCUUCUCACACCCAGGGCUGGGGACUGGCUGUUGUUUUGGUUUGAUUCUUUGUUUCUUUUGAGACCUGGCUGCCAGAGGAGGGGCUCCAAAGCUUGUGCUGUCCCUGUGUCCCUCUGUUUGUUCCUGCAGUCACCCCCCCCAGGCAAAUGCUGUGGCGCCUGCACGCUCCAGCAGCGCACUUGCAGACACUGGCCAGGACCCUGGACUUGCUGUGGUCCGGCCUCUGGGUGAGGGAGCAUCAGUGGUAGGGUGUCUGCCAGCCUGAGCCUUCCUUCCAGCUGGGAGGUAGCACAGGGGCACGGGACAGGCGUGGAGCCAGGCUGGGGCACCGUUCUUUGCCCUGGGGCUGGAGGCCUUCUCUCAGAGCUGUUCUAAGGCCAAGUUGUCACCAGUGAGGGAGGCUGCUGGCCACGGUGUGCCCAUUUACCCGGUAGUUAAGUGCACAGCCCCUGCCGUGUGCCAGCUGCAUCCUGGGCCCUGGGCCUGGGCAGCAUGUGGUCCUUCCUGGGGGCUCAGUGUUUGGGUCUGGCCCUGAGCUUGGCACUGGCGGGACGUGAGCUGGGUCCGACUCACAAGAACCUGUGGACAGCCAGUUCCCACACACUGCCAGGGAGCCAGUAGCGUCAUACUCCUUCCAGGUGAAUCCACACCUGGUCCGUGGUCCAUCUGGUCCGAGGGAGGUGAAGGCGUGCAGGCGCUCUGGAAAGCCGGGAUCAUCCUGCCACAGCAGAAGGGCCUUCUCUCCUUUUCUAGAACUUCCUAGGGACAGCACCUCUGCCAGCCCGAGCUUUCCUUCCAGUAACAUGGCCCCAAGGAGAGGUCGACAAUCCCCCGGUUUCACGUACAGGCAGCCUCCUGCAGGAGCUCCACAUGGGGGAUGUGUUCCUCUGCCAGGUGCAGACCUGCAUGCUUCUUCCUAUGUGGGAGCCAUGUGGACCCGUGGGGCUUCAGGUUGGAGCCCGGAAGCCACUUCAGCUGUUGGGAGCCGUGGUUCUGACCCAGGGAGGAGCUGCU
Rhinolophus ferrumequinum (greater horseshoe bat) is the source of this 4223-nucleotide long non-coding RNA. RefSeq lists it as uncharacterized. The record is from RefSeq and is a predicted model, not a curated record. The transcript has 3 exons. NCBI's taxonomy places the organism in Eukaryota, Metazoa, Chordata, Mammalia, Chiroptera, Rhinolophidae.